RNAcentral lists this ribosomal RNA (427 nucleotides) under uncultured bacterium. Its description in RNAcentral is "partial 16S ribosomal RNA". It matches the Rfam family "Bacterial small subunit ribosomal RNA", at positions 354 to 796 of the family's 1533-position model. The record is from RNAcentral.
GUGAGGAAUAUUGCACAAUGGGCGAAAGCCUGAUGCAGCAACGCCGCGUGAGUGAUGAAGGCCUUUGGGUCGUAAAACUCUGUCCUUGGGGAAGAAAAAAAUGACGGUACCCUUGGAGGAAGCCCCGGCUAACUACGUGCCAGCAGCCGCGGUAAUACGUAGGGGGCAAGCGUUAUCCGGAAUUAUUGGGCGUAAAGAGUGCGUAGGUGGUUUUGUAAGCGUAGGGUGAGAGGCAGUAGCUCAACUAUUGUUAGCCCUGCGAACUGUGAGACUUGAGUACAGGAGAGGAAAGUGGAAUUCCUAGUGUAGCGGUGAAAUGCGUAGAUAUUAGGAGGAACACCAGUGGCGAAGGCGACUUUCUGGACUGUAACUGACACUGAGGCACGAAAGCGUGGGUAGCAAACAGGAUUAGAUACCCCUGUAGUCC